UUUGAAACCUUUCUUACUCUUUCUUCGUCUCUGACUCUUCUCUCCAUCGCCAUCGUUUCCACUCUCUCCAAAUCUCCGUUACUAUGAAAUAAUCACCCACUGUAAAUGAUUGAUUCCUGCUCUUUACACCUUCAUUUAUACGAGAUGUAUCUUUCCACCUCCCUUUUGUUUUUCUCCUAUAUAAUCCCUUUCUCUAAAACACUUCUUAGAAACGCCAACCUAAUCAAUUUAGCAGCAGCAAGCCCUCCAAAACCGACUCCUCUUCACCUUCAUCGUUCUCAUACGAGAAAUACAGGAAACGUCCAGAUCAACAGGGAAGGCACCGGCGGCUCUGUUCUUCGAUGACACCUCUGGAUUAAAUAGUCUGAGUUGCGAUUCCGUUUCAUUACUGGAAAGCAAUUACCAAUCAGAGAAGAUUGUGAGAAUCCAUAUGUAGCUUCAGACUUCUCAUUCACGCCACUUCCAGUGAUAAAUGGAGAAGACUAUGUCUGUCUUUGUUUCCUUUCCUCCAAGCACCGAGUAUGAUAAAUGUUACUAAUUUCUUAGUGCGUGUGUGUUUGAUAUUCUCAAAGAUGAUAUCUCAGAUUCUAUUGCCUUUGGAUCACACAGCAAUAUCAAAAUCUGGUGGAAGUGGUUGACAAUUGGAUAUGCUUAUCUUGGAUACAUUAUAGAAGGUAGCACAGAUCAUCCUUAUUCAUUAUACGUUUGAAUUUUCUUGUGUUACUGUAUGCUGAUGUUUUCAAAUUCUUUCUUUCAUUGUGACUGCAACAAGAUCCCACAACACCCCGACGCUAGAGACAAUAAAAUGACAGUGUCCUUUGCUUAGAUGAUAUACGUACCGUGCAACCGUUCAGUCCUACCAAUGAUAUAGAUCUUACUCCAAUUUUCGUAAGCCAAUAUGCUAUGGAUAG
Long non-coding RNA from Brassica oleracea var. oleracea, 911 nucleotides. RefSeq lists it as uncharacterized. The transcript is spliced from 4 exons. The record is from RefSeq and is a predicted model, not a curated record. Lineage: Eukaryota; Viridiplantae; Streptophyta; Magnoliopsida; Brassicales; Brassicaceae.